This 264-nucleotide ribosomal RNA is filed under the name uncultured bacterium. Its description in RNAcentral is "partial 16S ribosomal RNA". It matches the Rfam family "Bacterial small subunit ribosomal RNA", at positions 793 to 1055 of the family's 1533-position model. The record is from RNAcentral.
GUCCACGCGGUAAACGAUGAAUGUUAGGUGUUGCGGGUAUCGACCCCUGCAGUGCCGGAGUAAACACAAUAAACAUUCCGCCUGGGGAGUACGGCCGCAAGGUUGAAACUCAAAAGGAAUUGACGGGGGCCCGCACAAGCAGCGGAGCAUGUUGUUUAAUUCGAAGCAACGCGAAGAACCUUACCAGGUCUUGACAUCCAGUUAAAGCCAUAGAGAUAUGGUGUCCCUUCGGGGGAACUGAGACAGGUGGUGCAUGGUUGUCGU